Molecule: ribosomal RNA, 492 nt
Filed under: uncultured bacterium
Lineage: Bacteria
Description: partial 16S ribosomal RNA
Rfam family: Bacterial small subunit ribosomal RNA
Source: RNAcentral
AGUGAACGCUGGCGGUAGGCCUAACGCAUGCCAGUCGAACGGCAGCACAGUAAGAGCUUGCUCUUACGGGUGGCGAGUGGCGGACGGGUGAGGAAUACAUCGGAAUCUACUUUUUCGUGGGGGAUAACGUAGGGAAACUUACGCUAAUACCGCAUACGACCUACGGGUGAAAGCAGGGGAUCUUCGGACCUUGCGCGAUUGAAUGAGCCGAUGUCGGAUUAGCUAGUUGGCGGGGUAAAGGCCCACCAAGGCGACGAUCCGUAGCUGGUCUGAGAGGAUGAUCAGCCACACUGGAACUGAGACACGGUCCAGACUCCUACGGGAGGCAGCAGUGGGGAAUAUUGGACAAUGGGCGCAAGCCUGAUCCAGCCAUACCGCGUGGGCGAAGAAGGCCUUCGGGUUGUAAAGCCCUUUUGUUGGGAAAGAAAAGCAGCAGGUUAAUACCCCGCUGUUCUGACGGUACCCAAAGAAUAAGCACCGGCUAACUUCGUG